ACAGGUAGCAAUACGCUGACGAGUGGCGCACGGGUGAGUAACGCGUACGGAAUUUGCCCUGUACUGGGGUAUAGCCUUGGGAAACCGAGAUUAAUCCCCCAUGGUGUUGCUGAGAGGCAUCUCUUGGCAACUAAAGCUCAGGCGGUACAGGAUAAUCGUGCGUCUGAUUAGGUAGUUGGUGAGGUAACGGCUCACCAAGCCGACGAUCAGUAGCUGGUCUGAGAGGAUGAUCAGCCACACGGGCACUGAGACACGGGCCCGACUCCUACGGGAGGCAGCAGUAGGGAAUAUUGGACAAUGGGCGCAAGCCUGAUCCAGCCAUUCCGCGUGAAGGAUUAAGGUCCUAUGGAUUGUAAACUUCUUUUCUUUGGGAAUAAAAACCGGGAUUUUUCCUGGCUUGAAGGUACCAGGGGAAUAAGCACCGGCUAACUCCGUGCCAGCAGCCGCGGUAAUACGGAGGGUGCAAGCGUUAUCCGGAUUCACUGGGUUUAAAGGGUGCGUAGGUGGCUUUGUAAGUCAGUGGUGAAAGCCCGGAGCUCAACUCCGGAACUGCCAUUGAUACUGCUAAGCUUGAAUCAGGUUGAGGCGGAUGGAAUGUAGCAUGUAGCGGUGAAAUGCUUAGAUAUGCUACAGAACACCAAUUGCGAAGGCAGUUCGCUAAGCCUGUAUUGACACUGAGGCACGAAAGCGUGGGGAUCAAACAGGAUUAGAUACCCUNNAGUCCACGCCUUAAACUAUGCAAACUCGACAUUGGCGAUAUACUGUCAGUGUCUAANGGNAACCAUUAAGUUUGCCACCUGGGAAGUACGANCGCAAGGUUGAAACUCAAAGGAAUUGGCGGGGGUCCGCNCAAGCGGUGGA
This 861-nucleotide ribosomal RNA is filed under the name uncultured bacterium. RNAcentral's name for it is "bacterial SSU rRNA". It matches the Rfam family "Bacterial small subunit ribosomal RNA", at positions 71 to 936 of the family's 1533-position model. The record is from RNAcentral.